Molecule: ribosomal RNA, 253 nt
Filed under: uncultured bacterium
Lineage: Bacteria
Description: partial 16S ribosomal RNA
Rfam family: Bacterial small subunit ribosomal RNA
Source: RNAcentral
GACAGAGGUGCCAAGCGUUAGGCGGAAUCACUGGGCUUAAAGCGUGUGUAGGCGGCCCGUUAAGUGUCUUGUGAAAUCCCCCGGCUUAACUGGGAGGGUGCGCCGGAAACUGGGCCGCUGGAGUACGGGAGAGGCAAGCGGAAUUCCAGGUGUAGCGGUGAAAUGCGUAGAUAUCUGGAGGAACACCCGUGGUGCAGACGGCUUGCUGGACCGUGACUGACGCUGAGGCACGAAAGCGUGGGUAGCAAACAGG